This 486-nucleotide ribosomal RNA is filed under the name uncultured bacterium. RNAcentral's name for it is "partial 16S ribosomal RNA". It matches the Rfam family "Bacterial small subunit ribosomal RNA", at positions 30 to 507 of the family's 1533-position model. The record is from RNAcentral.
AUUGAACGCUGGCGGCAUGCCUUACACAUGCAAGUCGAACGGCAGCACGGGUGCUUGCACCUGGUGGCGAGUGGCGAACGGGUGAGUAAUACAUCGGCACAUGUCCUGUAGUUGGGGAUAGCCCUGCGAAAGCCGGAUUAAUACCGCAUACGAUCUACGGCUGACAGCGGGGGCCCUUCGGGCCUCGCCCUUUCGGGUUGGCCGAUGGCUGAUUAGGUAGUUGGUGGGGUAAAGGCCUACCAAGGCGACGAUCAGUAGCUGGUCUGAGAGGACGAGCAGCCACACUGGGACUGAGACACGGCCCAGACUCCUACGGGAGGCAGCAGUGGGGAAUAUUGGACAAUGGGCGAAAGCCUGAUCCAGCAAUGCCGCGUGUGUGAAGAAGGCCUUCGGGUUGUAAAGCACUUUUGUCCGGAAAGAAAUCCUGGGCCCUAAUACGGUCGGGGGAUGACGGUACCGGAAGAAUAAGCACCGGCUAACUACGUG